AAAGUCGUAACAAGGUUUCCGUAGGUGAACCUGCGGAAGGAUCAUUACAAAUCAUUGCAAGCCCUCGCUCUCUGCAGCGCAACAAGUUGUUGCUGUUGACGACGUGGGGGUGAGCACAUUGGCACAGGACUAGCGCGGUGGCGGCAGCAGCUUUGCUUGCUUGCUUGCUCGCUAGUCUUGAUGUUUACGCUUGCUUGUUUGACAAAGUUAUCAUGUGACCUAAAUAUAGACAACUUUUAACAAUGGAUCUCUUGGCUCUU
This 260-nucleotide unclassified non-coding RNA is filed under the name Rozellomycota sp. RNAcentral describes it as "Cryptomycota sp. partial contains small subunit ribosomal RNA, internal transcribed spacer 1, and 5.8S ribosomal RNA". The stretch from base 1 to 47 matches the Rfam family "Eukaryotic small subunit ribosomal RNA", at positions 1785 to 1831 of the family's 1831-position model. Lineage: Eukaryota; Fungi; Rozellomycota. The record is from RNAcentral.